GACGAACGCUGGCGGCGUGCUUAACACAUGCAAGUCGUACGGUAAGGCCCUUUCGGGGGUCCACGAGUGGCGCACGGGUGAGUAACACGUGAGUAACCUGCCCACAACUUUGGGAUAACGCCACGAAACUGGUGCUAAUACUGGAUAUGUGCUCCUGCUGCAUGGUGGGGGUUGGAAAGCUCCUGCGGUUGUGGAUGGACUUGGGGCCUCUCAUCUUGUUGGUGGGGGAGUGGCCUACCAAGGCGGCGACGGGUAGCCGGCCUGAGCGGGGGACCGGCCACAUGGGGACUGAGAUACGGGCCGGACUCCUACGGGAGGCAGGAGUGGGGAAUGUUGCCCAAUGGGCGCCAGCCUGAUGCAGGGACGCCGCGUGCGGGAUUAGGGCCUUCGGGUUGUAAACCGAUUUCAGCAGGGACGAAGAUUUUUGUGACGGUACCUGAAGAAGAAGCACCGGCUAACUACGUG
This 465-nucleotide ribosomal RNA is filed under the name uncultured bacterium. Its description in RNAcentral is "partial 16S ribosomal RNA". It matches the Rfam family "Bacterial small subunit ribosomal RNA", at positions 28 to 507 of the family's 1533-position model. The record is from RNAcentral.